This is a non-coding RNA of Xyrichtys novacula (pearly razorfish), 128 nucleotides long. NCBI's taxonomy places the organism in Eukaryota, Metazoa, Chordata, Actinopteri, Labriformes, Labridae. The record is from the annotation of a GenBank genome assembly.
GAAGGAAAAGUUUUGAAUUCCUGAAUGAUUUUGUAGAAAGGCGGCUUAGGAUCAUUAUGUCAGCUUUAUUGAGGGCGGAUUAAGUGGAGUCUAGAUGCUACGCCUUGUACACGGCCCUUUCACAAUGU